This is a non-coding RNA of Paramuricea clavata, 152 nucleotides long. NCBI's taxonomy places the organism in Eukaryota, Metazoa, Cnidaria, Anthozoa, Malacalcyonacea, Plexauridae. The record is from the annotation of a GenBank genome assembly.
AUGCCUGACUUGUUACAAGGUUGUUCUAACAAGUCUGAUGCAGUCAUGAUAUAACAAGAAUGUUACAAGGUUGACGACACAGGAUUGUAACAAUAUUAUUAUACCAUGACUGCAUCGGACUUGUCGGAAUAACCUUGCAACAAGUCUGAUAA